AACGAACGCUGGCGGCGCGUCUUAAGCAUGCAAGUCGAACGGCAAGAGAGGAGCUUGCUUCUCUCCUAGAGUGGCGGACUGGUGAGGAACACGUGGGUAAUCUACCCUUAAGAUGGGGAUAGCUGCUAGAAAUAGCAGGUAAUACCGAAUACACUCGGCAUAUCACAAGAGAUGUUGAGGAAAGGAAGCUACGGCUUCGCUUGAGGAUGAGCUUGCGUCCCAUUAGCUAGUUGGUGAGGUAAAGGCCCACCAAGGCGACGAUGGGUAUCCGGCCUGAGAGGGUGAACGGACACAUUGGGACUGAGAUACGGCCCAAACUCCUACGGGAGGCAGCAGCUAAGAAUAUUCCGCAAUGGACGGAAGUCUGACGGAGCGACGCCGCGUGGAAGAAGAAGGCUGAAAAGUUGUAAAAUCCUUUUGUUGAUGAAGAAUAAGGGUGAGAGGGAAUGCUCAUCUGAUGACGGUAAUCGACGAAUAAGCCCCGGCUAAUUACGUGCCAGCAGCCGCGGUAACACGUAAGGGGCGAGCGUUGUUCGGAAUUAUUGGGCGUAAAGGGCAUGUAGGCGGCUAUGUAAGCCUGAUGUGAAAUCCUGGGGCUUAACCCUAGAAUAGCAUUGGGUACUGUAUAGCUUGAAUUACGGAAGGGAAACUGGAAUUCCAAGUGUAGGGGUGGAAUCUGUAGAUAUUUGGAAGAACACCGGUGGCGAGGGCGGGUUUCUGGCCGAUAAUUGACGCUGAGAUGCGAAAGUGUGGGGAUCGAACAGGAUUAGAUACCCUGGUAGUCCACACUGUAAACGAUGUACACUAGGUGUUGGGGCAAGAGCUUCAGUGCCAAAGCAAACGCGAUAAGUGUACCGCCUGGGGAGUAUGCCCGCAAGGGUGAAACUCAAAGGAAUUGACGGGGGCCCGCACAAGCGGUGGAGCAUGUGGUUUAAUUCGAUGGUACGCGAGGAACCUUACCUGGGUUUGACAUCUAGUAGAAGGUCUUAGAGAUAAGGCCGGGUAGCAAUACCCUGCUAGACAGGUGCUGCAUGGCUGUCGUCAGC
RNAcentral lists this ribosomal RNA (1046 nucleotides) under Treponema sp. oral taxon 231. RNAcentral describes it as "bacterial SSU rRNA". It matches the Rfam family "Bacterial small subunit ribosomal RNA", at positions 28 to 1059 of the family's 1533-position model. Lineage: Bacteria; Pseudomonadati; Spirochaetota; Spirochaetia; Treponematales; Treponemataceae. The record is from RNAcentral.